AGCAGCCGCGGUAAUUCCAGCUCCAAUAGCGUAUAUUAAAGUUGUUGCAGUUAAAAAGCUCGUAGUUGAAUUUCGGGAUUAGUAAGUUGGUCGUGCCUCUGGUAUGUACUGGCUUUACUGGUUCCUCCUUCUUGAAGAACUGUAAUGUCAUUAAUUUGGUGUUGCAGGGAAACAGGACUGUUACUUUGAAAAAAUUAGAGUGUUUAAAGCAGGCUAACGCUUGAAUACAUUAGCAUGGAAUAAUGAAAUAGGACGUUUGAUCCUAUUUUGUUGGUUUCUAGGAUUGACGUAAUGAUUAAUAGGGAUAGUUGGGGGCAUUAGUAUUCAAUUGUCAGAGGUGAAAUUCUUGGAUUUAUUGAAGACUAACUACUGCGAAAGCAUUUGCCAAGGAUGUUUUCAUUAAUCAAGAACGAAAGUUAGGGGAUCGAAGACGAUCAGAUACCGUCGUAGUCUUAACCAUAAACUAUGCCGACUAGGGAUCGGAUGAUGUUAAUUUUUUUAAUGACUCA
RNAcentral lists this ribosomal RNA (509 nucleotides) under uncultured Sclerocystis. RNAcentral's name for it is "SSU rRNA". It matches the Rfam family "Eukaryotic small subunit ribosomal RNA", at positions 569 to 1078 of the family's 1831-position model. The record is from RNAcentral. Lineage: Eukaryota; Fungi; Glomeromycota; Glomeromycetes; Glomerales; Glomeraceae.